Molecule: long non-coding RNA, 628 nt
Filed under: Mytilus galloprovincialis (Mediterranean mussel)
Lineage: Eukaryota; Metazoa; Mollusca; Bivalvia; Mytilida; Mytilidae
Source: RNAcentral
CUUUUUAUUAGCUCACCUGGCCCGAAGGGCCAAGUGAGCUUUUCUCAUCACUUGGCGUCCGGCGUCCGGCGUCGUCCGGCGUCGUUAACUUUUACAAAAAUCUUCUCCUCUGAAACUGCUGGGCCAAAUUUAACCAAACAUGACCAAAAUCAUUAUUAGGGUAUCUAGUUUAAAAAUUGUGUCCGGUGACCCGCCCAACCAACCAAGAUGGCUGCCAUGGCUAAAAAUAGAACAUAGGGGUAAAAUGCAGUUUUUGGCUUAUAACUCAAAAACCAAAGCAUUUAGAGCAAAUCUGACAGGGGUAAAAUUGUUUAUCAUGUCAAGAUCUAUCUGCCCUGAAAUUUUGAGAUGAAUCGGACAACCCGUUGAUAGGUUGCUGCCCCUGAAUUGGUAAUUUUAAGGAAAUUUUGCUGUUUUUGGUUAUUAUCUUGAAUAUUAUUAUAGAUAGAGAUAAACUGUAAACAGCAAAAAUGUUCAGCAAAGUAAGAUCUACAAAUAAGUCAACAUGACCAAAAUGGUCUGUUGACCCCUUUAGGAGUUAUUGCCCUUUAUAGUCAAUUUUUAACCAUUUUUCGUAAAUCUUAGUUAUCUUUUACAAAAAUCUUCUCCUCUGAAACUACUGACCAAA